This 468-nucleotide ribosomal RNA is filed under the name uncultured bacterium. RNAcentral describes it as "partial 16S ribosomal RNA". It matches the Rfam family "Bacterial small subunit ribosomal RNA", at positions 28 to 507 of the family's 1533-position model. The record is from RNAcentral.
GACGAACGCUGGCGGCGUGCUUAACACAUGCAAGUCGAACGGAAAGGCCCUGCUUUUGUGGGGUGCUCGAGUGGCGAACGGGUGAGUAACACGUGAGUAACCUGCCCUUGACUUUGGGAUAACUUCAGGAAACUGGGGCUAAUACCGGAUAGGAGCUCCUGCUGCAUGGUGGGGGUUGGAAAGUUUCGGCGGUUGGGGAUGGACUCGCGGCUUAUCAGCUUGUUGGUGGGGUAGUGGCUUACCAAGGCUUUGACGGGUAGCCGGCCUGAGAGGGUGACCGGCCACAUUGGGACUGAGAUACGGCCCAGACUCCUACGGGAGGCAGCAGUGGGGAAUAUUGCAAAAUGGGCGGAAGCCUGAUGCAGCAACGCCGCGUGCGGGAUGACGGCCUUCGGGUUGUAAACCGCUUCCGCCUGUGACGAAGCGUGAGUGACGGUAAUGGGUAAAGAAGCACCGGCUAACUACGUG